GCACUGUUGAGGAGUUCUACAAUAGGACGAAACGGCCGUUCAGUGU
This 46-nucleotide non-coding RNA is filed under the name Schistosoma mansoni. The record is from RNAcentral. Lineage: Eukaryota; Metazoa; Platyhelminthes; Trematoda; Strigeidida; Schistosomatidae.